CCAUAAUGUAAACGAAUCAUUAUGAGCAGUAAUAAAAAUAAGUUAUAAACUCAAACUUUAUGGCGGCAAAUAAAAACUACAGGGGAACUUACUUCAUAAAUGAUAAUCACCAAGAAAUGUUACUUUCUAUUAUUUUUAGUUUGUAUACCGUCGUUAAAAAAGGACCCAUAAAGGGUUUUUAAGAUAUUUCAUUUUAAGGUAUUAUAACAGAUCAAGGUGCAGCAUAUAAGAAAGGAGAUCAGCGAGUUACAAUAAUAAUUUUAUUUCCAGCGAUAGGUAGAAUUGACCUAUAAAAAGAUGGACUUGUAAGUAUAUGUAAAUAUAUAUAAAUUUAGAAUAAGAUAUUUAUUUGUGC
RNAcentral lists this ribosomal RNA (355 nucleotides) under Arion distinctus. RNAcentral's name for it is "partial 12S ribosomal RNA". The record is from RNAcentral. Lineage: Eukaryota; Metazoa; Mollusca; Gastropoda; Stylommatophora; Arionidae.